Molecule: non-coding RNA, 92 nt
Organism: Macaca mulatta (Rhesus monkey)
Lineage: Eukaryota; Metazoa; Chordata; Mammalia; Primates; Cercopithecidae
Source: Rfam
CAUACCAUCCUGAAUGCGCCUGAUCUCUUCUGAUCUUGGAAGCUAAGCAGGGUCAGGCCUAGUUAGUAUUGGAUAGGAGAAUAAUACAGGGU